RNAcentral lists this unclassified non-coding RNA (316 nucleotides) under Hevea brasiliensis (rubber tree). Lineage: Eukaryota; Viridiplantae; Streptophyta; Magnoliopsida; Malpighiales; Euphorbiaceae. The record is from RNAcentral.
UUCUUGUUGGUCAUGACUUCUCAACCUACAUGGAUGCACAGGCAAAAGUAGAUGAAGCUUACAAGGACCGACAAUUGUGGCUGAAGAUGUCGAUAUUGAGCACGGCUGGGAGUGGAAAAUUCAGCAGUGACCGAACAAUCGCCCAGUAUGCCAAAGAAAUAUGGAAUAUACAGGAGUGCCGUGUACCAUAAUUUCAACAUUCUAGGUCCACCUUGUCAUAAAUUGUAAAGGAAAUAAGAAUUCUGUAUGACGCUAGGUAUUCCCAAUUAUCUCUGCUUUAAUUCUCUACUUCUUGCUUCCAGUAUUACUAGCGGAG